This 406-nucleotide ribosomal RNA is filed under the name uncultured bacterium. Its description in RNAcentral is "partial 16S ribosomal RNA". It matches the Rfam family "Bacterial small subunit ribosomal RNA", at positions 29 to 526 of the family's 1533-position model. The record is from RNAcentral.
AUUGAACGCUGGCGGCACGCCUAACACAUGCAAGUCGAGCGAGCGGCGGACGGCGGAGUAAUGUCUGGGAAACUGCCUGAUGGAGGGGGAUAACUACUGGAAACGGUAGCUAAUACCGCAUACCAUCAGAUGUGCCCAGAUGGGAUUAGCUAGUAGGUGGGGUAACGGCUAACCUAGGCGACGAUCCCUAGCUGGUCUGAGAGGAUGACCAGCCACACAGGCACUGCGAAGAGGUCCAGACGCCUACGGAAGGCAGCAGUGGUGAAUAGUGAACAAGGGGCGCAAGCCGGAGGCAGCCAUGCCGCUGGUGUGAAGAAGGCCUUCGGGUUGUAAAGCACUAUCAGCGGGGAGGCGUAACCCGGAGAAGAAGCACGGGCUAAGUCCGUGUCAGCAGCCGCGGUAAUUC